Dama dama (fallow deer) is the source of this 1367-nucleotide long non-coding RNA. RefSeq lists it as uncharacterized. NCBI's taxonomy places the organism in Eukaryota, Metazoa, Chordata, Mammalia, Artiodactyla, Cervidae. The transcript is spliced from 3 exons. The record is from RefSeq and is a predicted model, not a curated record.
AUCCCUAUUUGGAUAAAACCUUGUUGGUCUGUCUUCGGGGGGAACCAUCCCCCGCUGCAGACAGUGACGUCUCCAAGACAACAGGAAGCUGUCUGACAGUGAACUUCGGCUGGCCAGGGAAGAGAAGGGCAUCUGACGGUGUUUGCCCUCUAGUGCUGAAAAUAUUCUCAAUGUCUUUACAGUAAUGAAACGAUACCACCAAUUACAGAAGCAGUUUCAUCUACUGAAGUAUUUAAACUUAACGUCACAGAUGAAGAAAGGAACUCACAGAAGUCCCUGAGAAAUGGUGUCAGUAUGCUGUCUGUGAGAAAUACUGAAGAGCAAAUCACAGCCCUAAGGAACGCUGAGGGGAAGGCGCCCACCCAGUGCAGACCCCAGGGACACCGCAGUGGGCUUGGCUGGAAGGGCCGCUGGGACCCUGGAAAAGAGCAGAAGGGAAGUUGUGCACUUCAGUUACUUGCGUGUUGUUGGCUGUGGGAACUAGUUCCCCAGGAGCCAGCCUUGCCCGUUAUUAGAUGGGGAUGAAGAGAAAGCAAGUCACCCGUGAAGCUGCUGUCUGAUUACAGGAUAGCAUCCACAGGGGUUACUCCUUCUUACUCUAGGUAUGUUUCUUUUAUGUUCAUAAAUAUUGUAUAUUCUUUUUAUAUUUUUAUAUUGCUGAGAUUGUGUUGUAGCUACUGAUGUUUUUAAACUUAUUUUCUUGCCUCCUUUGUCAAAGAUAAGGUGUCCAUAGGUUCGUGGAUUUAUCUCUGGGCUUUCUAUUCUGUUCCAUUGAUCUAUAUUUCUGUGGAGGCAAGGAUAUACAAUGGAAAAAAAACAACCUCUUUAACAAGUGGUGCUGGGAAAACUGGUCAACCACUUGUAAAAGAAUGAAACUAGAACACUGUCUAACACCAUACACAAAAAUAAACUCAAAAUGGAUUAAAGAUCUAAAUGUAAGACCAGAAACUAUAAAACUCCUAGAGGAGAACAUAGGCAAAACACUCUCCGACAUAAAUCACAGCAAGAUCCUCUAUGACCCACCUCCCAGAAUAUUGGAAAUAAAAGCAAAACUAUCUAUGGGACCUAAUGAAACUUAAAAGCUUUUGCACUACAAAGGAAACUAUAAGUAAGGUGAAAAGACAGCCCUCAGAUUGGGAGAAAAUAAUAGCAAAUGAAGAAACAGACAAAGGAUUAAUCUCAAAAAUAUACAAGCAACUCCUGCAGCUCAAUUCCAGAAAAAUAAAUGACCCAAUCAAAAAAUGGGCCAAAGAACUAAACAGACAUUUCUCCAAAGAAGACAUACAGAUGGCUAACAAACACAUGAAAAGAUGCUCAACAUCACUCAUUAUUAGAGAAAUGCAAAUCAAAACCACAAUGAGGUACCA